CAAUUGCUCAUAUCACAAGCUCUACUGACGCCUCUUUGCGUUUUCUCUGGACAGUUUGUUCAAUCCAUAAUGUCCGAUAAGCCGGCCGGGUGUUACAGAUAGAAGGGUGUUACAGAUAGAAGUCUCGUGCAGAGAGACUCCAGCCCUCGCUGCGGUUCUGCCAUUCGAGUCUUCGUUUUCUGAAGAGGAAGCGAAGUAGCCUGUUUAGUGAAGAGAGAAUCAAGGUCUUCACUCUGCCUCUUGAAAGAAAGGAGCUAACCUGUCGCCUAGCAACACCUCCCACUCCUGCUGAAGCCAGAGGAAGAGAAGAGCGGAAGAGGAAGAAUUGAAGCUGUCUAUGAAACCGAUAAGAGAAACCGAGUCAGGCUUGUGCUAAUGAGGCUGCAGAGAGGCGGACAGCUGCUCAGUAGGGUUCCAGUCUAUCCCGUGGUUAGAUGAGUCAAAGAUCGGAAGGGUGGGUGGACGGGUUAAGCAGGGCACGUGAGUGAGACUUUCCAUUUGGCGGAAAACGAUGCAUAGCAGAGAAAUGCCAUGAAAACAUCCCAGCGGGAAGGCAAACAUAUGUGGGUCAGGAGCCAGAAUUUUAUGGUCUUAUCAAAUUUAUUAUAAAUCCAAGAUCGAAAUACAACAACGGCAGCAUGGUAUAAAAAAAAACUACGCAAAGUAACAUGAGCAUUAUUGAUGGUGGUGGUGGUGGUGGGGUAGAGGUUUGGAAUGACUGAGUGGUUACCGAAUAACAACAAUGAAUAGAAACAAUACUGAACGCAGAGAUAGAUUAUACAUAGUGGAAAAUUAAAAGAGGCUUUUUGACACUAAGAACAUACAGAGAUACUUUUUACAGCCUUGAUAUUGUUACUACAUUUAUUUGAAUAGGAGGGAUUAAUUAUAAUUGCUGACAUCUGAACUGGAAGAUCAAACCAAUGGAAAGAGUCUGCAGAGCUGCAGCCCUUAUCUUGAGAAAGAGGCUAUUUUUAGAAAUGACAAAAGACAGUUUACAUUGGUUGUACAGCAGGUUUGGAAUCGCACUCUCAGGAAAAAAAGGUACAAAAGCUGUCACUGGGGCAGUACCUUUUCAAAAGCCACACCUUUGUACCUAAAGAGUCCUUAUUGGUAUCUUAAAGAUACAUAUAAGCACCUAAUGUGUACAUAUUAGUACCUAAAAGGUACAAAAGUGUACCUUUUGAAAAGGUACCACCCUAGUGACCGCUUUUGUACCUUUUUUUUUUUCUGCAUAGUGCAGGUAGCAACUUUGCCAUUUUCCAUAUGACACAAUAUAGUGGGUUAUCUUGCUGACAUUUUGUCCUUAAAAUAUAGUGCCUGUCUCUAAUAGCCUUUUUAUUAUUUAUGUAGAGGUUUUAUAAGUUGGUACAUCUCUCAUGAAAAUGACUUCUCUACAAUUUUGGUAAUGAUGUCUGUCAGUUGGCAGACAUAUCCAGCUCAUAAGCCCUCCUUGUUGGAUGACUCAAUCAGUGCUCUUCCACCCCCUUUUUCCCUCUCUGGGCAUCUCUACAUCUC
This is a long non-coding RNA of Sinocyclocheilus rhinocerous, 1515 nucleotides long. RefSeq lists it as uncharacterized. The record is from RefSeq and is a predicted model, not a curated record. The transcript is spliced from 3 exons. NCBI's taxonomy places the organism in Eukaryota, Metazoa, Chordata, Actinopteri, Cypriniformes, Cyprinidae.